This 418-nucleotide ribosomal RNA is filed under the name Enterobacteriaceae bacterium R-32742. Its description in RNAcentral is "bacterial SSU rRNA". It matches the Rfam family "Bacterial small subunit ribosomal RNA", at positions 20 to 434 of the family's 1533-position model. Lineage: Bacteria; Pseudomonadati; Pseudomonadota; Gammaproteobacteria; Enterobacterales; Enterobacteriaceae. The record is from RNAcentral.
UGGCUCAGAUUGAACGCUGGCGGCAGGCCUAACACAUGCAAGUCGAGCGGCAGCGGAAAGUAGCUUGCUACUUUGCCGGCGAGCGGCGGACGGGUGAGUAAUGUCUGGGAAACUGCCUGAUGGAGGGGGAUAACUACUGGAAACGGUAGCUAAUACCGCAUGACCUCGAAAGAGCAAAGUGGGGGAUCUUCGGACCUCACGCCAUCGGAUGUGCCCAGAUGGGAUUAGCUAGUAGGUGAGGUAAUGGCUCACCUAGGCGACGAUCCCUAGCUGGUCUGAGAGGAUGACCAGCCACACUGGAACUGAGACACGGUCCAGACUCCUACGGGAGGCAGCAGUGGGGAAUAUUGCACAAUGGGCGCAAGCCUGAUGCAGCCAUGCCGCGUGUGUGAAGAAGGCCUUAGGGUUGUAAAGCACU